This 160-nucleotide unclassified non-coding RNA is filed under the name soil metagenome. RNAcentral's name for it is "partial contains 5.8S ribosomal RNA, internal transcribed spacer 2, and large subunit ribosomal RNA". The record is from RNAcentral.
AACACUGUUAACCUGCGGUACCUGCGGAGGGAUCAUACUGUGAUUUACUACUACACUGCGUGAGCGGAACGAAAACAACAACACCUAAAAUGUGGAAUAUAGCAUAUAGUCGACAAGAGAAAUCUACGAAAAAACAAACAAAACUUUUAACAAUGGAUCU